This 551-nucleotide ribosomal RNA is filed under the name uncultured bacterium. RNAcentral describes it as "partial 16S ribosomal RNA". It matches the Rfam family "Bacterial small subunit ribosomal RNA", at positions 355 to 895 of the family's 1533-position model. The record is from RNAcentral.
UGGGGAAUUUUGGACAAUGGGCGCAAGCCUGAUCCAGCCAUGCCGCGUGCGGGAAGAAGGCCUUCGGGUUGUAAACCGCUUUUGUCAGGGAAGAAAUCUUCUGAGUUAAUACCUCGGGAGGAUGACGGUACCUGAAGAAUAAGCACCGGCUAACUACGUGCCAGCAGCCGCGGUAAUACGUAGGGUGCAAGCGUUAAUCGGAAUUACUGGGCGUAAAGCGUGCGCAGGCGGUUUUGUAAGACAGAGGUGAAAUCCCCGGGCUCAACCUGGGAACUGCCUUUGUGACUGCAAGGCUUGAGGUGCGGCAGAGGGGGAUGGAAUUCCGCGUGUAGCAGUGAAAUGCGUAGAUAUGCGGAGGAACACCGAUGGCGAAGGCAAUCCCCUGGGCCUGCACUGACGCUCAUGCACGGAAGCGUGGGGAGCAAAACAGGAUUAGAUACCCUGGGUAGUCCACGCCCUAAAACGAUGUCAACUGGUUGUUGGGAAGGUUCCUUCUCAGUAACGUAGCUAACGCGUGAAGUUGACCGCCUGGGGAGUACGGCCGCAAGGUU